Molecule: ribosomal RNA, 512 nt
Filed under: uncultured bacterium
Lineage: Bacteria
Description: bacterial SSU rRNA
Rfam family: Bacterial small subunit ribosomal RNA
Source: RNAcentral
UAGUCCACGCCGUAAACGAUGAAUACUAGGUGUCGGGUUUUAACUCGGUGCCGCAGCAAACGCAUUAAGUAUUCCACCUGGGGAGUACGAUCGCAAGGUUGAAACUCAAAGGAAUUGACGGGGGCCCGCACAAGCAGUGGAGCAUGUGGUUUAAUUCGAUGCAACGCGAAGAACCUUACCUAGGCUUAAAAUGUAGUGGACCAGCUGUGAAAGCAGCUUUCUCUUCGGAGUCGCUAUACAGGUGCUGCAUGGCUGUCGUCAGCUCGUGCCGUGAGGUGUUGGGUUAAGUCCCGCAACGAGCGCAACCCUUAUCGUUAGUUGCCAGCACAUAAUGGUGGGAACACUAACGAGACUGCCCGGGUUAACCGGAGGAAGGCGGGGAUGACGUCAAGUCCUCAUGGGCCCUUAUACCCCAGGGGCUACACACGUGCUACAAUGGGUAUGUACAGAGGGGUAGCAAACCAGUGAUGGGUAAGCCAAUCCCUAAAGCAUAUCUCAGUCCGGGAUUGGGA